RNAcentral lists this ribosomal RNA (1200 nucleotides) under metagenome. Its description in RNAcentral is "bacterial SSU rRNA". It matches the Rfam family "Bacterial small subunit ribosomal RNA", at positions 8 to 1210 of the family's 1533-position model. The record is from RNAcentral.
AGAGUUUGAUCCUGGCUCAGAGCGAACGCUGGCGGCGUGCUUAACACAUGCAAGUCGAGUGCGCGUCUGUAGCAAUACAGAUGGCGCACGGCGCACGGGUGCGUAACACGUGGGUAAUCUGCCCUUCGAUGGGGAAUAUCUUCGGGAAACCGAAGCGAAUUCCGCAUAACAUUCCUUGAACUUCGGUUUGAGGACUCAAAGCCGUAAGGCGUCGGAGGAGGAACCCGCGCACGAUUAGCUAGUUGGUAGGGUAACGGCCUACCAAGGCUUUGAUCGUUAGCUGGUCUGAGAGGAUGGCCAGCCACACUGGAACUGAGACACGGUCCAGACUCCUACGGGAGGCAGCAGUGGGGAAUCUUGCACAAUGGGCGAAAGCCCGAUGCAGCGACGCCGCGUGGGGGAUGAAGCUUUUCGGAGUGUAAACCCCUUUCGACCCGGACGAAUGCCCCGCAAGGGGACUGACGGUACGGGUAUAAGAAGCCCCGGCUAACUACGUGCCAGCAGCCGCGGAAAGACGUGGGGGGCCAGUGUUGCUCGGAAUUACUGGGUGUAAAGGGUUCGUAGGCGGUGUGGCAAGUCGGGAGUGAAAUCUCUGGGCUUAACUCAGAGUCUGCUUCCGAAACUGCUGUGCUUGAGUGUGGGAGAGGCGCGUGGAAUUGCAGGUGUAGCGGUGAAAUGCGUAGAUAUCUGCAGGAACACCCGUGGCGAAAGCGGCGCGCUGGACCACUACUGACGCUGAGGAACGAAAGCUAGGGGAGCAAACAGGAUUAGAUACCCUGGUAGUCCUAGCCCUAAACGAUCAGGACUUGGGGUGCCGCACGUUCGUGCGUCGUCCCGGAGCUAACGCGUUAAGUCCUGCACCUGGGGAGUACGGUCGCAAGACUGAAACUCAAAGGAAUUGACGGGGGCCCGCACAAGCGGUGGAACAUGUGGUUCAAUUCGACGCUACGCGAGGAACCUUACCUGGGCUCGAAGCGCACUUGACUAGCUAUAGAAAUAUGGCCUUCCCGCAAGGGACAAGUGUGGAGGCGCUGCAUGGCUGUCGUCAGCUCGUGCCGUGAGGUGUUGGGUUAAGUCCCGCAACGAGCGCAACCCCUGCACGUAGUUGCCACUCCGCAAGGAGGGAACUCUACGUGGACUGCUCCGGAUAACGGAGAGGAAGGUGGGGACGACGUCAAGUCCGCAUGGCCUUUAUGUCCA